CACACACACACACACACACACACACGCGCGUACGCACCAGCAGGAUGCUCUCCCAGGCCAUCCAGCGUAUAGGCAGCACGGCUCGGCCCUGGAUUCUGUAGUAGUCACUGCUGUACAGGUUCCUGCUCAUGCCGAAGUCUGAGAUCUUGAUGGUGAGCUGUCGGUCCACGAGGCAAUUCCGCGUGGCCAGGUCCCGGUGCACAAAGUUCAGAGACGCCAGGUACUUCAUCCCCGAUGCAAUCUGAACGGCCAUGUGCAACAGGUCUGACAUACUGCAGCGGGAUGUUGUUGGCAUGGGUGAGCGUGCUCUCGAUCUCUCUCUGAGAGAGGAACAUGUUGAGGUCUCCGUUCUCCAUGUACUCCGUCACCAUGCAAAGGGGGUCCGAGUGCACACACACACACAGCAGGCGGAUGAUGUUCGAGUCGUUCAGGCGCGACAUGAUCUUUAUCUCCUUCAGGAAGUCAUACCUGGCGUUGGUGGUGGCGUCGGCUCUGAGCUGUUUCACUGCCACCAGCACUGAGCUCUCGUCAUCAGAUAACGGAGGAGCGUCCUCUUCUAAAAACUCCACCAGACCCUCUGCCUCACACAGGUGUACCUGUGCGCGCACACACACACACACACACCCAGGUUAUCCACACUCACACACAGUGUUAACUCUGUAUAGAGCUGUACAGCAUGCCCACCUCUCCAAACUGCCCCUCCCCGAGUUUUUCGCGGAAGAUGAGGCGUUCCCUUGGAAACUCGGCAGCGGUGAUGUCUUUACGUGUCAGAGAGUCUGCGGUGAGGGCGGGGAUGGCGUACGUGUUGCCGCCGGUAACACCUUGCAGCUUCACAAUCAGGGUCUCGGCGUAGUGAGGAACGCUAGACUGGAGACUCUGGUGAUGGGUGUGAUGGGUACACUGGGUGAUGUCUGGCUCAGCAUAACCACCACAGUCUACAUGGGGGAGAGGGAGGGGGAGAAAAAUUAAAAAAGUAGAACGUCAUUCGUUAAUUUAAAAAAAAAAAAAAAAAAGAACUCGGGGACUGUUAAAAGAAAACCAUCAACAAUGGUAUGGAUCACUCUGCUUCAUGUCCAGCUACAUCACACCACACCACUGUUGAUUAUUUUCCCAUAAC
Long non-coding RNA from Ictalurus punctatus (channel catfish), 1117 nucleotides. Lineage: Eukaryota; Metazoa; Chordata; Actinopteri; Siluriformes; Ictaluridae. The record is from Ensembl.